GUCAAGGUUAGAGUCUCGCCCAGGAAUGGCUGUCACCCCGGUGUGCUGGAGUUCUUGGAGAGGAGCUGCUAGCUUCAUUUGCUGGCUGUGUUCGAGCCAGUCACUAGGGAAGGGACAGGU
Molecule: small nucleolar RNA, 120 nt
Filed under: Erinaceus europaeus (western European hedgehog)
Lineage: Eukaryota; Metazoa; Chordata; Mammalia; Eulipotyphla; Erinaceidae
Description: Small nucleolar RNA SNORA3/SNORA45 family
Rfam family: Small nucleolar RNA SNORA3/SNORA45 family
About the family: The members of this family belong to the H/ACA class of snoRNAs which are thought to guide the sites of modification of uridines to pseudouridines. This family includes mouse snoMBI-28 and human homologues ACA3 (SNORA3) and ACA3-2 (SNORA45). Both ACA3 and ACA3-2 share the same host gene.
Source: Rfam by way of RNAcentral